This 1441-nucleotide ribosomal RNA is filed under the name Bacillus subtilis. RNAcentral's name for it is "bacterial SSU rRNA". It matches the Rfam family "Bacterial small subunit ribosomal RNA". Lineage: Bacteria; Bacillati; Bacillota; Bacilli; Caryophanales; Bacillaceae. The record is from RNAcentral.
CCGAAUGAGGCGUGCUAUACAUGCAGUCGAGCGGACAGAUGGGAGCUUGCUCCCUGAUGUUAGCGGCGGACGGGUGAGUAACACGUGGGUAACCUGCCUGUAAGACUGGGAUAACUCCGGGAAACCGGGGCUAAUACCGGAUGGUUGUUUGAACCGCAUGGUUCAAACAUAAAAGGGGGUUCGGCUACCCUUACAGAGGACCCCGGGCAUUAGCUAGUUGGGAGGUAAAGGCUCACCAAGGCAACGAGGGUAGCCGACCUGAGAGGUGAUCGGCCACACUGGGACUGAACACGGCCCAAACUCCUACGGGAGGCAGCAGUAGGGAUCUUCCGCAAGGACGAAAGUCUGACGGAGCAACGCCGCGUGAGUGAUGAAGGUUUUCGGAUCGUAAAGCUCUGUUGUUAGGGAAGAACAAGUACCGUUCGAAUAGGGCGGUACCUUGACGGUACCUAACCAGAAAGCCACGGCUAACUACGUGCCAGCAGCCGCGGUAAUACGUAGGUGGCAAGCGUUGUCCGGAAUUAUUGGGCGUAAAGGGCUCGCAGGCGGUUUCUUAAGUCUGAUGUGAAAGCCCCCGGCUCAACCGGGGAGGGUCAUUGGAAACUGGGGAACUUGAGUGCAGAAGAGGAGAGUGGAAUUCCACGUGUAGCGGUGAAAUGCGUAGAGAUGUGGAGGAACACCAGUGGCGAAGGCGACUCUCUGGUCUGUAACUGACGCUGAGGAGCGAAAGCGUGGGGAGCGAACAGGAUUAGAUACCCUGGUAGUCCACGCCGUAAACGAUGAGUGCUAAGUGUUAGGGGGUUUCCGCCCCUUAGUGCUGCAGCUAACGCAUUAAGCACUCCGCCUGGGGAGUACGGUCGCAAGACUGAAACUCAAAGGAAUUGACGGGGGCCCGCACAAGCGGGGGAACAUGUGGUUAAUUCCAAACAACGCAAAAAACCUUACCAGGUCUUGACAUCCUCUGACAAUCCUAGAGAUAGGACGUCCCCUUCGGGGGCAGAGUGACAGGUGGUGCAUGGUUGUCGUCAGCUCGUGUCGUGAGAUGUUGGGUUAAGUCCCGCAACGAGCGCAACCCUUGAUCUUAGUUGCCAGCAUUCAGUUGGGCACUCUAAGGUGACUGCCGGUGACAAACCGGAGGAAGGUGGGGAUGACGUCAAAUCAUCAUGCCCCUUAUGACCUGGGCUACACACGUGCUACAAUGGACAGAACAAAGGGCAGCGAAACCGCGAGGUUAAGCCAAUCCCACAAAUCUGUUCUCAGUUCGGAUCGCAGUCUGCAACUCGACUGCGUGAAGCUGGAAUCGCUAGUAAUCGCGGAUCAGCAUGCCGCGGUGAAUACGUUCCCGGGCCUUGUACACACCGCCCGUCACACCACGAGAGUUUGUAACACCCGAAGUCGGUGAGGUAACCUUUUAGGAGCCAGCCGCCGAAGGUGACAGAGG